UGAGCGCACCCAAGGUGACGUCCCAGGCGUCUGCGGCCGACUGUUCCCUAGGGAAGGGCCAGUGCGUGCAACCGGAAUCACCCCAGUAUGAGACACCUCGAUACGGACUUAUGAGACACCUGGGAUGCUUAGGCAACCUUGCUGCUCCUUCACCUUCACGCCUUAGAAGCCACCAGACCCAUGCACCAGCCACGUAGCCGUGUAACAACCAGGAAACCAAGCAUUUGGGAAAACAAGACCUGGGAAGGUUAGAAAACCUGCUCUAGUCCAUGCGUCUGGAGACAAGACCCUGGAGGCAGGUCCCUCCUGCCACAGCCCCUGGGACCACACCCUCCUGCCUCCGCAAAUUAAAUUCCUGUGAAUUCCUAAUUAAAAAGGCAUUCAUUAACACUGUCGUUUUAAGAGAUGACUGAUAUCGCUGUCGUCUUUCUUCAACUUUGCGAAAAUCAUUUUACUUCCAACUGUUUAAUUAGGCCACACGAUAAUCUCCCUGAGCAAGCUGCUGACCCCGUUGGAAACGCGGAGGAAGGGGUAUCCCACCUGGGAGCUGGAACUCUUUGAUGUAUUCAUGAACUUGGUCUAGACACACAGAGGCAGCCUCCAAACCCUUGACCAGGACGGCCCCCUCUGCAGUUACUAAUUAACAACAGGAUUUUAUUUUUAAAAAGCCAUUUACAACUGAAGAGCCUACACACCAUAAUCUCAGUGGAUGUUGACGGCCAUUUGCUGAAGGUUUUAACAAAUAAUCCUAGUGUGCGCUUAUGGGAUGCUUCUUACGACGUGUGGGUUCUGCUGAAGUUCUGCAGGUGCUUGAGGUCAUUCCUUCCGCACCUACCUUUUCUGAACUGUGAGACGUGACAGCUACUGCAUGUUAAAGAUCAGACUAAGACCUGAGAGAAGCGCAGGUGCAAGGAAAUGCAGUAUCAGCAGAGGCAGGAUUCCUUGUCAUCCCUAAGAUUUCAAAAGCACCUAACUCCCUGCCUAGAAAGCCUGAAGGAUUUUUGUUUCCUGCUCUUGUGCCAAUAAGCAAGCCCCUGACCCGGCUGCACAGCUGGCCUGGAGUACCUGGCAUCUGUGGCCAGGCAGCAUGCCCUGGCCAUUCUGUGGCCUUUGCUGGCCAGCCUCUAGUUCAAGCUGUGGCCUCAGCAGGGUUUCUUCAA
Talpa occidentalis (Iberian mole) is the source of this 1160-nucleotide long non-coding RNA. RefSeq lists it as uncharacterized. The transcript is spliced from 3 exons. Lineage: Eukaryota; Metazoa; Chordata; Mammalia; Eulipotyphla; Talpidae. The record is from RefSeq and is a predicted model, not a curated record.